RNAcentral lists this ribosomal RNA (410 nucleotides) under Bacillus subtilis. RNAcentral describes it as "bacterial SSU rRNA". It matches the Rfam family "Bacterial small subunit ribosomal RNA", at positions 509 to 916 of the family's 1533-position model. The record is from RNAcentral. Lineage: Bacteria; Bacillati; Bacillota; Bacilli; Caryophanales; Bacillaceae.
CAGCAGCCGCGGUAAUACGUAGGUGGCAAGCGUUGUCCGGAAUUAUUGGGCGUAAAGAGGUCCCAGGCGGUUUCUUAAGUCUGGUGUGAAAGCCCCCGGCUCAACCCGGGGAGGGGCAUUGGAAACUGGGGAACUUGAGUGCAGAAGAGGAGAGUGGAAUUCCACGUGUAGCGGUGAAAUGCGUAGAGAUGUGGAGGAACACCAGUGGCGAAGGCGACUCUCUGGUCUGUAACUGACGCUGAGGAGCAAAAGCGUGGGGAGCGAACAGGAUUAGAUACCCUGGUAGUCCACGCCGUAAACGAGGAGUGCUAAGUGUUAGGGGGUUUCCGCCCCUUAGUGCUGCAGCUAACGCAUUAAGCACUCCGCCUGGGGAGUACGGUCGCAAGACUGAAACUCAAAGGAAUUGAGGG